CUGGCAUCUAGUGGGUAGAGGCCAGAGAUGCUGUUAAACAUCUUGUAAUGCACAAGACAGCCCCCCAAGACAAUUAUCUGGCCAAAAGUAUUGACAGCCUGGAACUGGAGAAACCCUGAUCUAAUGGCAUGCAGGCUCUUCCAUGAAAAGACUGAGCUUCUGGUGGAUCAUCAUUUGUAUUACUUACUGGGGCCUGUGUAAGCAGUGAACCAAGGAUCGGGUGCCUGAUUCCCAAAUCUGCCUUCACGAGUAACUUGCCAGUGAACUUGAGCGUCUCAUUCUCCAUCUGCCCGGUGCAGUGAUGAUGCUUGCCAAGCAGUCUCACAGGGUUCUGUUCUUUAUCCUGUGCCUGAGGUUGGACCCGAGGAAAAUUAGCCCACCUCUUUGCUUCUCGGAUACCUCGGAACGAUUAGCCCUGAAUAUAGGAGCUGUACGCCUUAGAAAUGGGAGUAGACCCUGGGCCCUUCUAGAUUGUUUCUAGAAAUAGGCUCAGUCUUCAGAUGCAGGCCUCACCAGAGCCCUUCCUUGGCAGCCUGCCUGUCCCGGUAGGGGAAGUGGUCCCUGGGAGAGGGAGCUAGUCUCGGAGACAGUUUGUCUGCCUUCUCUCCGAAGCUUCCUGUGUAUGGGAAAUGAAUAGAUCCCAUGCACACCCUCCCUCCUUGGCAGGCUACUCCUUGCCCUCCCUGUGAGGUUCCAGGAGCCCGUGACAUUAUCUGCAAACUCCCAUGAGAGGCUCCAGACCAUGGCCGUGAGCCCCGAGAAUGAUGAAUAUGCAGGAAGGGACGGUGUGCCAGACAGGGAAGCCAGGGCUGGGCGGGGGCAACCAUGCAGGGCGAGGGAGCCAGGGCUGGACUGGUGGGGAGGGGCUCCCAGGGUCCGAGCACCCUUGGAGAGGGCCCCAUCACUGGCAGGCCCAUUUGCCCUCCUAAAGAGCUAGAAGCUGCCAUUUGUACGUCCGCAUUCUCCAGAGCUGUGGACUCUGGAGUCUUAGAAAUCCUCCUGGCGGCUGAGCCUCCCACUGGCCGCAAUUAACCUGUUCAAUACUAGGUCAGCAACUUUGCAGAGGAUGUUUGCUGAUGGCAUUCUACUGGGUGCACUGGUACUGUUGACUCCGGUCCACAGAAAGCCUGACACGUCCCUUGUGGCAGACGAAAGCUAGGAGCAAAUUCUGCCUGCAUCACAGAAUCCUUAGGCUGAGUGUGACAUUUGGAGGUCACCUGGUCCAUCCCUGUGCCUGCAGGCAGGCCUGGACAUAAACCGGCCUAGACAGAUGAGAAUCUGUUCUCUCUCUCUGCCUUCAAAAACCUAAGGACAUUUCAUGUAUCCCUUAGUGUCCAAUAUCCCUCAGCCCUGAGACUGUUCCUAGAGCUCAUCUGUAUUCCAGGGGUUCUCUGAUAGGUGUCUCAAGGCAGAGGUGAGGAACAACCCAUCGUGUGCUGUAUGCAGUGGGUGCUACAGUGUGUUCCCACGGGCUUCUCAGAGCCCACCAUGCACACGUCUCUCUUCCAACUCAGGGUUCCGUGAUAUCACGUUGGUAGUUUGUGGUCAGCCACGGGACAAGUAUUUACACCACGGAAAUUGGCAAACACUGCCAAUGAGGAGCAGCCUUUUCCCCCCAGAGGACAAGUUGCUCAACAUUCGCUAGCACACAACUAGUUGUAUACAGCAAUACUCCUGCACAGAACUUGGGUAACAGUCAUCCUCUGUACCCUUCACCUUAGUGUCUUGAAGCUCCCUCACUGGCGGGACCAUAAUUUCCCCGGAGCAGAGGCUGUGCCUUGCAGGGGACUUUUUUUCCAGCAGCUUGCAUGGUGCCCGUUUGCCAAAGGAAUGAAGGACACAUAUCAAAUCAUCAGGCUGAGUGGCUGUGGGUUUUCGUUGUCUUAGGACUCAUGCACUCACACUGUUUGAGUCAGAUUGGCCAAACAGGAGGUACAUUUAUCUGACUUGACUUCAGAGUUGUACCAUUUAAUUCAAGCAGGAUUAAUGAAACAUCUACUCUAUGCUCACCCUGUCCUAGGCUCUGGAGCCCGGGAGAAGGGGAAGUUUAUGGGCACCAGCGUCCCAUCCCUCCUAUUCUCAAAUGACUUACACUUUGAUUUGGAAGAUAGGCAUACGAGCAGACAGUUAGAAAUCAAUAGAGAUAUCUUUGAAGGUUGUGCCUGAUGGAUUUGGGGUGGUCAUAAAACACAGCAGUAAGAACAUGGGACACUGGGGUCAGGUUGCCUGUGUUCGAAUUCCAUUAGUAGUUAUGUGACCUUGGAAGGCUUAACACCCCCGGCCUUGCCACCCCCCCACUCCCACAACUCAGAUUCCUCAUUCUAAGGAUAUAAUGAGAUCUAUCUCAUAGAGGAGUUAUCAGAGUCAGUGCAUUCAUGUUUAGAAACCACUUAGCACAUUGCCUCGGAUACAGCGGGUAUAAAAUAUAUAGUAGUUAUUAUUUGUAUCUUACAGUCUAAUGGCCUCUUUUUAAAAAUGAAUACAUUGAGGCCCAGGAGUGGGAAAAUGACUAUUCGCCAAUUAGUGGCAGGCCUGAGAUUAGCAGCAGUAACUAACUUUAUCGAUAUAGGGGAAGGGACACGCCACAGUAACAAAUCUAUCCCCAAUCUCUAUGCCUUUGCACAAUAAAUGUGACUGUCCGUGCAAAGGCAGAGGCAGACAAGGCGACCCUGCCCCAUUCUGUAGCUGCACCUGCUGGAGCCCAUGGUCUCCAAGGCCACCGCAGCAGGGGCAGACAGAGGUGGAGGAGGUGUGCCAGCUGCUUUGGCCAGUCCAUUGGUCAGAACCAGUUACGUGGCCCCCGCCCAAGAGUGUCUGGGGGCGCAGCCUGACGUGAGGUUAUUUGGUGAACACAGCGCAUGCCACGCUAACAGUACAGAAGAUAUCCCAAGGUGGCAUAUGAUUAAGUGCUUAAUAGUGGACAGAUACUCUGUGCGACAGUCUGUGAUUAAGUAGCCCGGUGAGGGGUACAUACAAGUGCGGCAGCAGAUUAGGGAAGGGGCAGAUAAGGAAGGACAAGAGGGCUGAGCAUCAUUUGCUGAAGAACUAGCACUAGCUCAGCACUCUAGCACUAGAACAAGACCUAAAGGGCGGGUAGAACCAGGAGCUGCAGAGAGGAGGGGUCCCCCCUCAAAGCGGCAUCUCCUGCAGUGGUGAUCCUGCUGUCGACCCCCCAGUCACCAGGAGUCGCGGUGGAGGCAGAAGGAGGUGGGCCCUGAUCGCUGGCAACUCCCCAGACCUCAGGCUCCUGGAGAAACUAGCACAGAGCUCAGCUUCCUUCGUAGGUCCUGAAAUAAAGGCUUCCCGGUGGAGCACAGUGUGGUAGAAAGAGGGCUGGGUGCAGAAUCAACAAAUGCAGAUUUCCUGUUGUUCCCACUUCCGCCUCUGACUCCUGUGUGACUUUGCACAGCCUCUCCACCUCUCUGGGCUGCGGUCCUUAUUGGUGAGAUGCAGAGUUCCCUCAGGCCCUUGACAGAUCUGAUUCUCCAGGACUCUGGGCUUCUCGCAGCCAGCGUUUAUAGGAUUAACUGGGGGUUAAAUAUUUGGAGGGCUAGUCUGGGGCUCUCCUCUGGGGGAAAGAUCCAAAGAGGAAAGGAAUUCGCCAGGGCUCUGGCCGCUUAGAGGGUGAACAGGACGGAACAUGGCGUACGCAAAUCUUUGGUGAGGGGCCAACCUUCCAUCAGAACGGAGCCGGGAUACAGAGGCAGCCCCGGAAGCUGGGCCCAGCCGCAUAAAUCUUAGCACUGGCAUAUCAAUCAGUCAGUUCAAUCGGCUACAAUACUUUUUUCUUUUGGAAAUAAAUAAAGAUGAAGGCAAGAGAUACCACCCAAAGAGGAAACCCCAGAGCAGUGUGGAUAGUCACAUGGCCACCGAAUCCCGGAGCCGGACUCUGAUUAAUGGAGCAGGCUGGCUUUGAUAAAUCAGGUACCUCCAUCCAGUGGGUUUAGGCUCUUGUUUUCUAAAUGGGAACUUAAUGCUGUUCACUCAUUCAUAGGUAGGAUGCUGUGUCAGAAAGUUAAUAUAUAAAUCUGUUAUUUACAAGGGU
Long non-coding RNA from Felis catus (domestic cat), 4045 nucleotides. RefSeq lists it as uncharacterized. Lineage: Eukaryota; Metazoa; Chordata; Mammalia; Carnivora; Felidae. The record is from RefSeq and is a predicted model, not a curated record. The transcript has 2 exons.